CAGUUGGAAACGACUGUUAAUACCGCAUAAUAUCUGUGGAUUAAAGGUGGCUUUCGGGCUGUCGCAGAUGGAUGAGCCUGCGUUGGAUUAGCUAGUUGGUGGGGUAAGGGCCCACCAAGGCUACGAUCCAUAGCUGAUUUGAGAGGAUGAUCAGCCACAUUGGGACUGAGACACGGCCCAAACUCCUACGGGAGGCAGCAGUGGGGAAUAUUGGACAAUGGGGGCAACCCUGAUCCAGCAAUGCCAUGUGUGUGAAGAAGGCCCUAGGGUUGUAAAGCACUUUAGUUGGGGAGGAAAGCCUCAAGGUUAAUAGCCUUGGGGAGGACGUUACCCAAAGAAUAAGCACCGGCUAACUCCGUGCCAGCAGCCGCGGUAAUACGGGGGGUGCAAGCGUUAAUCGGAAUUACUGGGCGUAAAGGGUCUGUAGGUGGUUUGUUAAGUCAGAUGUGAAAGCCCAGGGCUCAACCUUGGAACUGCAUUUGAUACUGGCAAACUAGAGUACGGUAGAGGAAUGGGGAAUUUCUGGUGUAGCGGUGAAAUGCGUAGAGAUCAGAAGGAACACCAAUGGCGAAGGCAACAUUCUGGACCGAUACUGACACUGAGGGACGAAAGCGUGGGGAUCAAACAGGAUUAGAUACCCUGGUAGUCCACGCUAUAAACGAUGAGUACUAGCUGUUGGAGUCGGUGUAAGGGCUCUAGUGGCGCAGCUAACGCGAUAAGUACUCCGCCUGGGGACUACGGCCGCAAGGCUAAAACUCAAAGGAAUUGACGGGGACCCGCACAAGCGGUGGAGCAUGUGGUUUAAUUCGAUGCAACGCGAAGAACCUUACCUGGUCUUGACAUCCUGCGAACUUUCUAGAGAUAGAUUGGUGCCUUCGGGAACGCAGUGACAGGUGCUGCACGGCUGUCGUCAGCUCGUGUUGUGAAAUGUUGGGUUAAGUCCCGCAACGAGCGCAACCCCUAUUGAUAGUUACCAUCAUUAGGUUGGGUACUCUAUUGAGACUGCCGCUGACAAGGCGGAGGAAGGUGGGGACGACGUCAAGUCAUCAUGGCCCUUACGACCAGGGCUACACACGUGCUACAAUGGGUAUUACAGAGGGCUGCGAAGGUGCGAGCUGGAGCGAAACUCAAAAAGGUACUCUUAGUCCAAGGG
RNAcentral lists this ribosomal RNA (1153 nucleotides) under uncultured Francisella sp. RNAcentral describes it as "bacterial SSU rRNA". It matches the Rfam family "Bacterial small subunit ribosomal RNA", at positions 147 to 1299 of the family's 1533-position model. Lineage: Bacteria; Pseudomonadati; Pseudomonadota; Gammaproteobacteria; Thiotrichales; Francisellaceae. The record is from RNAcentral.